UACGAAGGGGGCUAGCGUUGUUCGGAAUUACUGGGCGUAAAGCGCGCGCAGGCGGCUAUCCAAGUCAGUGGUGAAAGCCCGGAGCUCAACUCCGGAACUGCCAUUGAAACUGUUUAGCUUGAGGACGAGAGAGGUGAGUGGAAUUCCCAGUGUAGAGGUGAAAUUCGUAGAUAUUGGGAAGAACACCAGUGGCGAAGGCGGCUCACUGGCUCGUAUCUGACGCUCAGGCGCGACAGCGUGGGGAUCAAACAGG
This 253-nucleotide ribosomal RNA is filed under the name uncultured bacterium. RNAcentral's name for it is "partial 16S ribosomal RNA". It matches the Rfam family "Bacterial small subunit ribosomal RNA", at positions 524 to 776 of the family's 1533-position model. The record is from RNAcentral.